UGGAGAGCCAGAGAAGGACUGGAUAAACUUGUGUCUGAUGCCAACGAGCAGUACAAACUGGUCAGUGACACCGUUGGACAAAGGGUAGAUGAAAUUGAUGCUGCUAUUCAGAGAUCACAACAGGUAAAGUUUAUAAUUCUGUGUGCUAGUGUUUUAGGCCACAGAAUGUAUGUAUGGUGUCUAGUGCUAUAACCUACAUAAGUACAGGCUCAAGAAGAAUAAUGAGAUCAAAAUAAGUAGAACAGGGGUUGGGGAUUUAGCUCAGUGGUAGAGCACGUGCCUAGCAAGCGCAAGGCCCUGGGUUCGGUCCCCAGCUCCG
Molecule: long non-coding RNA, 319 nt
Filed under: Rattus norvegicus (Norway rat)
Lineage: Eukaryota; Metazoa; Chordata; Mammalia; Rodentia; Muridae
Description: long non-coding RNA NONRATT023580
Rfam family: tRNA (bases 251-319)
Source: RNAcentral